Molecule: ribosomal RNA, 406 nt
Filed under: uncultured bacterium
Lineage: Bacteria
Description: partial 16S ribosomal RNA
Rfam family: Bacterial small subunit ribosomal RNA
Source: RNAcentral
AUUGAACGCUGGCGGCAGGCCUAACACAUGCAAGUCGAGCGAGCGGCGGACGGGUGAGUAAUGUCUGGGAAACUGCCUGAUGGAGGGGGAUAACUACUGGAAACGGUAGCUAAUACCGCAUACCAUCAGAUGUGCCCAGAUUGGAUUAGCUAGUAGGUGGGGUAACGGCUAACCUAGGCGACGGUCCCUAGCUGGACUUCAAGGCUGACCAGCCACACUGGAAUGGAGAAACGGUCCAUACUCGUACGGUCGGCAGCAGUGGGGAAUUUUGCCAUAUGGGCGCAAGCCUGAUGCAGCCAUGCCGCGUGUGUGAAGAAGGCCUUCGUGUUGUAAAGCACUUUCAGCGGGGAGGCGUUACCCGCAGAAGAAGCACCGGCUAACUCCGUGCCAGCAGCCGCGGUAAUUC